GUGAAUUUACGAACGCACUAUGGUGCGCAAAUCCCUACUACAGAAUAAUCCCACAGAGCUGUACUGUUUUUGAUAAUCCCAUUCAGACAAAAUAUUUUUUUGCUAAUUUCGGAUGUUAGCUAGCCAGCUAACGUUGAUUUAGAUGCAUGUAACCCGGUUGGAAAUAGCUUCUUAACGUUUCUGGACAGAAACCCAGCUUCUUUGGAUAAUUGAGUUGGCUACAGUAGCUAAUCAAUUAAAAUUCACACCAAGCCAAGAUAACAUCAUGGAGAUCAGCCUCAAUCGAGUUGAUUAUCUGCAGAGUUGCCUACAGUAUUUUUACGUUUUUCAUUUAACCAGCCUGUGUCCAAGACAUUGCCAGGGCAGAAGAUAACCAGGCUGCAACUUGAUGAGGCUCUUGAAACCCCGCAGAAGAUCUUUGUGUGUGCUGGCUCAGAAGUGAAGGGAUACACCAAUAAAGUCAAACAGUUCCUGUCCUUUGAGGCCAACCUUACAGAAAGCAUUAAUGCCAUGUCAUUUUUUAAACUUUUCGAUUUGACAUAAGUUACCUUGCCUCGGUUCCAGGCCCUCUACACAUGUUCGUUAACAGUGAUGAACGGGACUUGGGAGUAUGGCACGUUUCAGACGCAGACCUUUUUGUAUGUGCGAGUUACAUCUACAACCACUACUGUGAAUGCAAGGACCAAGACUACUACCUGUCCGGAGACAAAAUCAAUGACAUUGUGUGUUUGUCUGCUGAGAACUUGGGCCGCAUUGUCCAUGUGUUGGCAUGUCAAGACAGUUCUCAGAGUGUUGCAGAGAUCUGAGCUAUUGUAUGAUAUUGAAGUCCCUGGUCCUCCCUCAGUUUUGGAGCUGUACAAUAGAGAUGGAG
This is a long non-coding RNA of Oncorhynchus gorbuscha (pink salmon), 871 nucleotides long. RefSeq lists it as uncharacterized. The record is from RefSeq and is a predicted model, not a curated record. The transcript is spliced from 4 exons. NCBI's taxonomy places the organism in Eukaryota, Metazoa, Chordata, Actinopteri, Salmoniformes, Salmonidae.